AACGAAGAGGACGAGCAUUAUUCGUCUUGAUUGGGUGUAAGGGUUAGUAGGUGGUUUAUUAAGUCUUAAAUUAAAUGUUAAAUUAAAAUUUGAUAAAGUUUCUGAUACUAUUAAACUAGAGUGUUUUUGAGAAUAAUUGUAUUUCAGGUGUAAAGGUGAAAUUUUGCAAUAUUUGAAAGACAGGCAUAAGGCGAAAGCUAUUAUUUAAUUAAUAUCACUGACACUGAUAAACGAAAGCAUAGGGAGCAAAUGGG
Molecule: ribosomal RNA, 254 nt
Filed under: uncultured bacterium
Lineage: Bacteria
Description: partial 16S ribosomal RNA
Rfam family: Bacterial small subunit ribosomal RNA
Source: RNAcentral